Gavialis gangeticus (Gharial) is the source of this 112-nucleotide long non-coding RNA. RefSeq lists it as uncharacterized. NCBI's taxonomy places the organism in Eukaryota, Metazoa, Chordata, Crocodylia, Gavialidae. The transcript is spliced from 3 exons. The record is from RefSeq and is a predicted model, not a curated record.
UUUUCCGGCUAUUUCAGUUGGUCUAAUAAAAGAUAUCAGAUUUGCCCAAAGAACCGUGUCUGUCAAUGUCCUGAGCCAACACGGCUACACCCAACAAGAUUCCCAAAUGGGG